UCCUACGGGUGGCUGCAGUGAGGAAUCUUGCGCAAUGGGGGAAACCCUGACGCAGCCACGCCGCGUGGGUGAAGAAGGUCUUCGGAUCGUAAAGCCCUGUCAGGUGGGAAGAACCGCAGUCGGGUGAAUAAUCUGGCUGCCUGACGGUACCACCAAAGGAAGCACCGGCUAACUCCGUGCCAGCAGCCGCGGUAGUACGGAGGGUGCAAGCGUUGUUCGGAAUUACUGGGCGUAAAGCGCGUGUAGGCGGCCCGAUAAGUCAAAUGUGAAAGCCCUCGGCUUAACCGGGGAAGUGCAUCUGAUACUGUCGGGCUUGAGUCCUGGAGAGGGUUGUGGAAUUCCCGGUGUAGAGGUGAAAUUCGUAGAUAUCGGGAGGAACACCAGUGGCGAAGGCGACAACCUGGACAGAGACUGACGCUGAGACGCGAAAGCGUGGGGAGCAAACAGGAUUAGAUACCCGAGUAGUC
This 467-nucleotide ribosomal RNA is filed under the name uncultured Desulfarculus sp. Its description in RNAcentral is "bacterial SSU rRNA". It matches the Rfam family "Bacterial small subunit ribosomal RNA", at positions 337 to 795 of the family's 1533-position model. Lineage: Bacteria; Pseudomonadati; Thermodesulfobacteriota; Desulfarculia; Desulfarculales; Desulfarculaceae. The record is from RNAcentral.